This 238-nucleotide ribosomal RNA is filed under the name uncultured bacterium. RNAcentral describes it as "partial 16S ribosomal RNA". It matches the Rfam family "Bacterial small subunit ribosomal RNA", at positions 118 to 353 of the family's 1533-position model. The record is from RNAcentral.
UGAGCAACCUGCCUUUCAGUGGGGGACAACAUUUGGAAACGAAUGCUAAUACCGCAUAAGACCACAGUGUCGCAUGGCACAGGGGUCAAAGGAUUUAUCCGCUGAAAGAUGGGCUCGCGUCCGAUUAGCUAGAUGGUGAGGUAACGGCCCACCAUGGCGACGAUCCAUAGCCGGCCUGAGAGGGUGAACGGCCACAUUGGGACUGAGACACGGCCCAGACUCCUACGGAGGCAGCAUG